CCGAGUUUACAACUCCCAAACCCAAUGUGAACAUACCUCAAGUUGUUCGGGAACGCCCGGCGGCAUCAGACCCUCCGUCCGCGGGGAUAGGGAGCUAGCCGGACCAGGCGCCGCCAGGAGGUACCCUAAACUCUGUCUUCAGUAUAUUACUUCUGAGUGAAAACGCAUAAAUAAAUCA
This 178-nucleotide unclassified non-coding RNA is filed under the name soil metagenome. RNAcentral's name for it is "partial internal transcribed spacer 1". The record is from RNAcentral.